GAUGAACGCUGGCGGCGUGCCUAAUACAUGCAAGUCGAGCGAACAGACGAGGAGCUUGCUCCUCUGACGUUAGCGGCGGACGGGUGAGUAACACGUGGAUAACCUACCUAUAAGACUGGGAUAACUUCGGGAAACCGGAGCUAAUACCGGAUAAUAUCUUGAACCGCAUGGUUCAAUAGUGAAAGACGGUUUUGCUGUCACUUAUAGAUGGAUCCGCGCCGCAUUAGCUAGUUGGUAAGGUAACGGCUUACCAAGGCAACGAUGCGUAGCCGACCUGAGAGGGUGAUCGGCCACACUGGAGCUGAGACACGGUCCAGACUCCUACGGGAGGCAGCAGUAGGGAAUCUUCCGCAAUGGGCGAAAGCCUGACGGAGCAACGCCGCGUGAGUGAUGAAGGUCUUCGGAUCGUAAAACUCUGUUAUUAGGGAAGAACAAAUGUGUAAGUAACUAUGCACGUCUUGACGGUACCUAAUCAGAAAGCCACGGCUAACUACGUG
RNAcentral lists this ribosomal RNA (497 nucleotides) under uncultured bacterium. RNAcentral's name for it is "partial 16S ribosomal RNA". It matches the Rfam family "Bacterial small subunit ribosomal RNA", at positions 28 to 507 of the family's 1533-position model. The record is from RNAcentral.